This 362-nucleotide unclassified non-coding RNA is filed under the name Hevea brasiliensis (rubber tree). Lineage: Eukaryota; Viridiplantae; Streptophyta; Magnoliopsida; Malpighiales; Euphorbiaceae. The record is from RNAcentral.
GAGACGCUCGAGCAGCCUUUCCGCAAGGAUCACGACUCGCUCGACGACGUCAGCCUUUUUUUGCUCCGCGAGUUCGCAGACAAGUUGGCUCUAUGCGACGCAGCCGAUCCCGCCACAUUAGUGCGCGAUCCAGUUUUAUGAACAGAGAAAAAGGAAUAGCAAGAAGACGCCGAUGGGAUACGAAGCUGCGCCAAGACCUCGGGAUCUAGACCCGCAGAACUGGCUCAGCCGCGCAAAUUUCUUCGUCCUCAACUUGCAAAGUCACAUGAUCGAUCUUGAACUUUUCCUCCAGNNNNNNNNNUUUCAGCACCGCUGCUGCGUCUUUCAUGUCGGUCACGACGAGAUGGCCGGUCAGGGAGUCC